UUUCCGGUUGAUCCUGUCGGAGGCCACUGCUAUCGGGCUCCGACUAAGCCAUGCGAGUCUAGGGGCUCCUUCGGGAGCACCGGCGGACGGCUCAGUAACACGUGGACAACCUACCCUCGGGUGGGGGAUAACCUCGGGAAACUGAGGCUAAUACCCCAUAGGUCUCGGAUACUGGAAGGUUCCGAGGCCGAAAGCUCCGGCGCCCGAGGAUGGGUCUGCGGCCUAUCAGGUAGUUGGUGGUGUAAAGGACCACCAAGCCUGCGACGGGUACGGGCCCUGAGAGGGGGAGCCCGGAGAUGGACUCUGAGACACGAGUCCAGGCCCUACGGGGCGCAGCAGGCGCGAAACCUUCGCAAUGCGCGAAAGCGCGACGAGGGGAGCCCGAGUGCCCUUCCUUUUGGGAGGGCUUUUCCGGAGUCUAAAAAGCUCCGGGAAUAAGGGCUGGGCAAGACGGGUGCCAGCCGCCGCGGUAAUACCCGCAGCUCGAGUGGUGGCCACUAUUAUUGAGCCUAAAGCGUCCGUAGCCGGACCCGUAAAUCCCUGGGUAAAUCCUAGCGCUCAACGUCAGGAAUUCCGGGGAGACUGCGGGUCUUGGGACCGGGAGAGGCCGGAGGUACUCCCGGGGUAGGGGUAAAAUCCUGUAAUCCCGGGGGGACCACCUGUGGCGAAAGCGUCCGGCUUGAACGGCUCCGACGGUGAGGGACGAAGGCCAGGGGAGCAAACCGGAUUAGAUACCCGGGUAGUCCUGGCUGUAAACGCUGCCCGCUUGGUGUUGUCGGUCUCUCGGGGGCCGGCAGUGCCGGAGCGAAGGUGUUAAGCGGGCCGCUUGGGGAGUACGGCCGCAAGGCUGAAACUUAAAGGAAUUGGCGGGAGAGCACUGCAACGGGAGGAGCGUGCGGUUUAAUUGGAGUCAACGCCGGAA
This 922-nucleotide ribosomal RNA is filed under the name uncultured archaeon. RNAcentral's name for it is "bacterial SSU rRNA". It matches the Rfam family "Archaeal small subunit ribosomal RNA", at positions 1 to 923 of the family's 1478-position model. The record is from RNAcentral.